This 465-nucleotide ribosomal RNA is filed under the name uncultured bacterium. Its description in RNAcentral is "partial 16S ribosomal RNA". It matches the Rfam family "Bacterial small subunit ribosomal RNA", at positions 28 to 506 of the family's 1533-position model. The record is from RNAcentral.
GACGAACGCUGGCGGCGUGCUUAACACAUGCAAGUCGAACGGAAAGGCCCUGCUUGCAGGGUACUCGAGUGGCGAACGGGUGAGUAACACGUGGGUGAUCUGCCCUGCACUUCGGGAUAAGCCUGGGAAACUGGGUCUAAUACCGGAUAGGAGCCAUUUUUAGUGUGGUGGUUGGAAAGUUUUUUUCGGUGUAGGAUGAGCUCGCGGCCUAUCAGCUUGUUGGUGGGGUAAUGGCCUACCAAGGCGGCGACGGGUAGCCGGCCUGAGAGGGUGGACGGCCACAUUGGGACUGAGAUACGGCCCAGACUCCUACGGGAGGCAGCAGUGGGGAAUAUUGCACAAUGGGCGCAAGCCUGAUGCAGCGACGCCGCGUGGGGGAUGACGGCCUUCGGGUUGUAAACUCCUUUCGCUAGGGACGAAGCUUUUUGUGACGGUACCUAGAUAAGAAGCACCGGCUAACUACGU